Nothobranchius furzeri (turquoise killifish) is the source of this 1071-nucleotide long non-coding RNA. RefSeq lists it as uncharacterized. The record is from RefSeq and is a predicted model, not a curated record. NCBI's taxonomy places the organism in Eukaryota, Metazoa, Chordata, Actinopteri, Cyprinodontiformes, Nothobranchiidae.
GGCCAGGCUAGGGAAGACAAACACUGGCAGGACAGAAACGGAGUUGUCUCAACUUGUAUUAUUCAGUGUGAAAGUCGUUGCUUCGACUGCCACCGAGUAGCUACUUACUGAUGUCCACUGCAGGUCACCUUUCUUCAGAAGUUUUUUGAUCUUUCUCAGAGCUUUGUUCCUUUUUCGCAACACUCUCAGUGGAAUAAAGCCAAGCUGUGAGGAAACAAGCAUAAAAGACUGAUUUGUAUCUUCUGGUGAAACUCACAGCCUCUAUGAGCUUGUUCCUGAAGAAAUCCAUGUUGGCAAAGAAGAUGGGUGAUGGGAUCCUGAAGAUUUUCACCCCCUCUGGCUCAUAUAUCUGCAGUCAUGACCACCAUGUACAGUUGAAUACAAUUAAAAACCCUAAAGGGACAGUUUGCAUGAACCCUUACUUCUAAACAGAAUGCAGCCAUUAUUCAUACACCUGUGUUUGUUUGUAAGUCAAGCUGUGAGACAUGUCUGUGGGGUCAGGAGAUCCUCUCGCUCUCCAUUCUGUUCCAUUAGCAUAUUUCCACUAAUAAUGCUAAAUCUGUCAUUGUAACAAAUAUUUUUGUAUCACUUUGCUCAUGCAAUCGUUUACUCUGCAGUAGCUAAAAAUACACUGUGAUGUAACAUGACAAUGCAUUGUGGGAUAUAGUCCUAGACAAAAAAGCAUGCAUUUUGCAUGGGGGCCAAUGGGUCGGAGUUGCUUCGUUCGCCUCCUAAAGAUGCUAAACAGGAAGGAACUAAGCAUUGCUAUUGAGGGUUGUGCAAACUGGACUACAGAUACCCAGAUUGGAUGUUUUUUUUUUAUCCCUUUUCCAAAGCCGAGUGGUGAACAACAACAGCUGAAAUGGGAACUGGCCAAGCUAAAAUUUGGUGGCAGCGGUGGCACUAUAAUCAUGUAAAAGUAAAAAGGUACUUCGAGUAACUGUUUGGGUAUAACAUUUUGAAUUUUGUUUCUGUUGAUUAGUUUUUAUUGACAUAAAAGCGCCCUGUGUGGUGACACGACCUGUAAAGCAGGCUAUUUUACACAUUGGAUAAAUUAUCUGUCUAGAAUUA